GUGCCAGCAGCCGCGGUAAUACGUAGGGUGCGAGCGUUAAUCGGAAUUACUGGGCGUAAAGCGUGCGCAGGCGGUUUGUUAAGAUAGGCGUGAAAUCCCCGGGCUCAACCUGGGAACUGCGUUUAUGACUGGCAGGCUAGAGUAUGGCAGGGGGGGGUGGAAUUCCACGUGUAGCAGUGAAAUGCGUAGAGAUGUGGAGGAAGACCGAAGGCGAAGGCAGCCCCCUGGGCCAAUACUGACGCGCAUGCACGAAAGCGUGGGUAGCAAACAGGUUUAGAUACCGCGGGAGUCUACGCACUAA
RNAcentral lists this ribosomal RNA (301 nucleotides) under uncultured bacterium. RNAcentral's name for it is "bacterial SSU rRNA". It matches the Rfam family "Bacterial small subunit ribosomal RNA", at positions 505 to 805 of the family's 1533-position model. The record is from RNAcentral.